GCCGGGCGUGGUGGCACACACCUGUAGUCCCAGCUACUCCGGAGGCUGAGGCAGGAGAAUCGCUUGAACCCGGGAGGCGGAGGUUGUGGUGAGCCGGGAUCGCACCACUGCAUUCCAGCCUGGUGACAGAGUGAGACUCCUUCUCAAAAAAAAAAAAAAGUAUACCUAAAACUCUGUCACCAGGCUGGAAUGCAGUGGUGCGAUCUCGGCUCACCACAACCUCCGUCUCCCGGGUUCAAGCGAUUCUCCUGCCUCAG
Molecule: signal recognition particle RNA, 257 nt
Filed under: Callithrix jacchus (white-tufted-ear marmoset)
Lineage: Eukaryota; Metazoa; Chordata; Mammalia; Primates; Cebidae
Description: Metazoan signal recognition particle RNA (ENSCJAG00000059456.2)
Rfam family: Metazoan signal recognition particle RNA
About the family: The signal recognition particle (SRP) is a universally conserved ribonucleoprotein. It is involved in the co-translational targeting of proteins to membranes.
Source: Rfam by way of RNAcentral